Molecule: long non-coding RNA, 891 nt
Organism: Macrobrachium nipponense
Lineage: Eukaryota; Metazoa; Arthropoda; Malacostraca; Decapoda; Palaemonidae
Exons: 2
Source: RefSeq, a predicted model, not a curated record
AGGACAUGCAUACUGGAACCAGGGUUGAAAUGAUUACAUCUGAAGAAAGUAAUUACAAUUACAAUUACUUUCAAAAAAUGAGAUUUGGGUGGGAGAGUAAACGCUCGUCUUUGGCGCAGGAAGCAGUACAUUGAGGGAAGCAAAUCGAGCUAAUAGGGUUUCAUCAUUUAUUUCCAGAAGUGUAAGUGAUAGAAGAGCAGAGGUCAUAUUAAGACAGUGUUUAUAAGCACUAGUUAGGAAACACUUGGAUUAUGCUGUUCACUUCUUGUCACCUUACUAUAGGAUGGAGAUAGAUUCACUUGAAUCAGUACAGAGAAAUUCUUACCACAGGGCGAAAGGCUUCAUUAAUUUGCAUUCUCUUGAGAGACGUGGAACGAAGGGAGAUUUAAGUGAGGUGUUUAAAUGGAUCGAGGGAUUCAAUACCGGUGAUGGUACCCAUCACUCCUAAUGGAGCCCCACAACCCUUACCACUUCAAUUUUAUAAUAAUAAUUAAAUUACAAAUUACAUCAUUCUGUAAUUAAUUAAAGUAGAAUUACCAUAAUUUCAUUUAAAAUAACAAUUACAAUAUGACAAAAUUCUGUAAUUGAUUACAUUUCAGUUAGAUUACAAUUACAAUUACUCCAGCCCUGACUGGAACAGUUAUUCAAGACAGGACAGACAAUACUUCUGCUAUCAAGAACUGUAUUCGUUGCUUGUAUCCCUCAAUAAUUUUUAACUGAGGUGAGAAUGGAGAAGAACGGUGUUUGUGGGAUACUUCACUUUGCCCCAUAAAUUGGCCUUCAAUGACGGUUCGCGGGAGUAAUAGGUUAUUUGACACUUCCAGUAAAUAGUAUCAAAUGCACUUGUAUGUAUGAAUUGUAUUACCUUCACCAAUAAUAGCAUUUGCAAAC